This is a non-coding RNA of Oryza brachyantha (malo sina), 184 nucleotides long. The record is from Rfam. NCBI's taxonomy places the organism in Eukaryota, Viridiplantae, Streptophyta, Magnoliopsida, Poales, Poaceae.
AAUAAGAUUAUUUUUCAUUUUUCCGUGUCUAACGUUUGACCAUUCGUUUUAUUUAAAAAAAUUACGAUUAAUAUUUUUGUUCUUACUGGAUAAUAAAAGAAUAGUACUUUAUGCGUGACUAAUUUUUUAAGUUUUAUACAAAUUUUUCAAAUAAGAUGAAUGGUCAAACGUUAAACGAAAUAAG